GGGGUUGUGGCUCAGCGGUAGAGCACUCGCCUAACAUGUGAGAGACCCUGGGUUCAAUCCUCAGCAUCACAU
RNAcentral lists this transfer RNA (72 nucleotides) under Marmota monax (woodchuck). It matches the Rfam family "tRNA". From Rfam's summary of the family: Transfer RNA (tRNA) molecules are approximately 80 nucleotides in length. Their secondary structure includes four short double-helical elements and three loops (D, anti-codon, and T loops). Lineage: Eukaryota; Metazoa; Chordata; Mammalia; Rodentia; Sciuridae. The record is from Rfam by way of RNAcentral.